UCGCAUCAUUUGAUCAAACCACUUGUAAUUGCAGGUGCACGCAGGCCUUGCUGUGAGUGCCUCUAGGGAGAUGGAAAGGAACAUCUGGUUAUGGCUCCAAGGUUUGCUGUGCAGUAGGGGAUGAUGGCUGAGAUGGCAAAGCAUCUGAGAUGUCAUGUAAUGGAUUUCAAGAAUAGCAUAUGUGAGAUGCACCCAAAAAGCCUGAAGGCUUGUGUUGACAGAGUUGAUGCUCCUGUGUGAGACUCGUGUUCUGUCUCAGCAACACAAGUCUCUCUCAAAAUUCAUCACUGGGAAGGCAAAAGUCAUCUUCAAGCUCUAGCAUAGCAACCUCCAAGAGAGGAUAAUCGUUAUCCUUUUCAGAAUGAGGCCCAAGAAAUCCGGAAUUCUCUACACAAGGCAAUGGUCUCACAAGCGGACAACUGCCUCGGCAGAGAAAAAUGAACAGGCACCAUUCCAAGAUGAAGAACGUCCCCAAGGUGGUUUUGAGAAGGCCUGAGCAUGCAGCAAGAUGGUAAGAAUGGAUGAGAG
RNAcentral lists this long non-coding RNA (528 nucleotides) under Homo sapiens (human). Its description in RNAcentral is "HSALNT0324464". Lineage: Eukaryota; Metazoa; Chordata; Mammalia; Primates; Hominidae. The record is from RNAcentral.